GCUGCUGCACCACUGGUACAGUUACCAGUUUCUAUUCUGCAGUGCACUGCUAAUCAUUCCAUGCUUGGUUGGCAGUCUGAACGAACCAGCUGCCAAAGAGACAUCUUUGCAUUCCCUGUGCUUCCUGUGCAAUGGCAGAGAGGGGAGUUUCUCCAGUGCAGGAGCUAUUUAACCCAAGCACUCUCAGUUCUGCUAAACUUUGGAUAAAACAAAUUGAGAGCUAGGAAUAAGAAGCUGAGGUUGUUAAAUAUGCUAGCAGUUGUGUUAAGAGCCAUUUCCUCAGCUGGCUUUUAAACAUUUUUAAAGGGAGGCAUAAAAAAGAGCUUGUUUUUACUGCCAUCAGGUGUGCAAGAAUGCAAAUAUAGGCUGUUCUCACCUGCAACCUAGCAAAGGCAAUGGCACAGUUCCCUUUGCUCCCGGGGCAUCUUGGCCAAGGCCCGUUGACUCAUCUGGUAUGCUUUGUCCAUGUGUUAUAUACCUGCCUUCUCCUCAGGAAAUCCUACAGAAAUAGGUGGGCAAAGCUUAAUAAUCCUAAUAAAUACCUGCUGCAUCCCAUACAUGCUGUAUAACAGAGAAAUGUGUUUCCUUUUUCAUUCCCAUGCUCUAGUAGUCCAUGGGUGAAAUAUGAAAAUAGUGGAAAGGAUGAAAGGAUGACCACACAUUUGUGAAAUUAAUUUGUUCCAAUGGCGCUGAACUUUUCUGGGUGACACUGACAAGAAUCAAGAACAACACAGCAUGAAAUUAGGCAGCAAGGACCAUGAGCAGCAAAAGAGAGGGAAGAACUAUUUAAUUUGAUCCAGGCAUAAAUUUCUAGAAGUAAUGGAGCCUUGCUGGACUCGGGGUAGAAGCAGCGUUCUUUGUUCCCUCUGCAGACAGCAGGAAAGAGUAGAAACCAACAGCAGCCAGGCUUUUAGAUAACAAAGAGUGU
Molecule: long non-coding RNA, 928 nt
Organism: Passer domesticus (house sparrow)
Lineage: Eukaryota; Metazoa; Chordata; Aves; Passeriformes; Passeridae
Exons: 3
Source: RefSeq, a predicted model, not a curated record